ACCAGACUCCUACGGGAGGCAGCAGUGGGGAAUAUUGCACAAUGGGGGAAACCCUGAUGCAGCGACGCCGCGUGAGUGAAGAAGUAUUUCGGUAUGUAAAGCUCUAUCAGCAGGAACGAGACAAGACGGUACCUGACUAAGAAGCCCCGGCUAACUACGUGCCAGCAGCCGCGGUAAUACGUAGGGGGCAAGCGUUAUCCGGAAUCACUGGGUGUAAAGGGAGCGUAGACGGCUGAGCAAGCCUGAAGUGAAAGGCAGGGGCCCAACCCCUGGACUGCUUUGGGAACUGUACGGCUGGAGUGCAGGAGAGGUAAGUGGAAUUCCUAGUGUAGCGGUGAAAUGCGUAGAUAUUAGGAGGAACACCAGUGGCGAAGGCGGCUUACUGGACCAUAACUGACGUUGAGGCUCGAAAGCGUGGGGAGCGAACAGGAUUAGAUACCCCCGUA
Molecule: ribosomal RNA, 446 nt
Filed under: uncultured bacterium
Lineage: Bacteria
Description: bacterial SSU rRNA
Rfam family: Bacterial small subunit ribosomal RNA
Source: RNAcentral